GUGCCAGCCGCCGCGGUAAUACCGGCAGUUCGAGUGAUGGCCGAUCUUAUUGGGCCUAAAGCGUUCGUAGCUGGCCACGCAAGUCCGUCGGGAAAUCUACCCGCCUAACGGGUAGGCGUCCGGCGGAAACUGCGUGGCUUGGGACCGGGAGACCCGAGGAGUACGUCCAGGGUAGGAGUGAAAUCCCGUAAUCUUGGACGGACUACCGAUGGCGAAAGCACCUCGGGAGCACGGAUCCGACAGUGAGGAACGAAAGCUGGGGUCUCGAACCGGAUUAGAUACCCCAGUAGUCC
Molecule: ribosomal RNA, 293 nt
Filed under: uncultured bacterium
Lineage: Bacteria
Description: partial 16S ribosomal RNA
Rfam family: Archaeal small subunit ribosomal RNA
Source: RNAcentral